GAUGAACGCUGGCGGCGUGCCUAAUACAUGCAAGUCGAGCGAACGGACGAGAAGCUUGCUUCCCUGAUGUUAGCGGCGGAAGGGUGAGUAACACGUGGAUAACCUACCUAUAAGACUGGGAUAACUUCGGGAAACCGGAGCUAAUACCGGAUAAUAUUUUGAACCGCAUGGUUCAAAAGUGAAAGACGGUCUUGCUGUCACUUAUAGAUGGAUCCGCGCUGCAUUAGCUAGUUGGUAAGGUAACGGCUUACCAAGGCAACGAUGCAUAGCCGACCUGAGAGGGUGAUCGGCCACACUGGAACUGAGACACGGUCCAGACUCCUACGGGAGGCAGCAGUAGGGAAUCUUACGCAAUGGGCGAAAGCCUGACGGAGCAACGCCGCGUGAGUGAUGAAGGUCUUCGGAUCGUAAAACUCUGUUAUUAGGGAAGAACAUAUGUGUAAGUAACUGUGCACAUCUUGACGGUACCUAAUCAGAAAGCCACGGCUAACUACGUG
This 497-nucleotide ribosomal RNA is filed under the name uncultured bacterium. RNAcentral describes it as "partial 16S ribosomal RNA". It matches the Rfam family "Bacterial small subunit ribosomal RNA", at positions 28 to 507 of the family's 1533-position model. The record is from RNAcentral.